RNAcentral lists this ribosomal RNA (253 nucleotides) under uncultured bacterium. RNAcentral's name for it is "partial 16S ribosomal RNA". It matches the Rfam family "Bacterial small subunit ribosomal RNA", at positions 524 to 776 of the family's 1533-position model. The record is from RNAcentral.
UACGGAGGGGGCUAGCGUUGUUCGGAAUUACUGGGCGUAAAGCGCACGUAGGCGGCUUGGUAAGUUAGAGGUGAAAGCCCGGGGCUCAACCCCGGAAUUGCCUUUAAGACUGCCUCGCUUGAACGUCGGAGAGGUGAGUGGAAUUCCGAGUGUAGAGGUGAAAUUCGUAGAUAUUCGGAAGAACACCAGUGGCGAAGGCGGCUCACUGGACGACUGUUGACGCUGAGGUGCGAAAGCGUGGGGAGCAAACAGG